This 420-nucleotide ribosomal RNA is filed under the name Edwardsiella sp. Y5CS2. Its description in RNAcentral is "bacterial SSU rRNA". It matches the Rfam family "Bacterial small subunit ribosomal RNA", at positions 68 to 477 of the family's 1533-position model. Lineage: Bacteria; Pseudomonadati; Pseudomonadota; Gammaproteobacteria; Enterobacterales; Hafniaceae. The record is from RNAcentral.
GGUAACAGAGAGUAGCUUGCUACUCUGCUGACGAGUGGCGGACGGGUGAGUAAUGUCUGGGGAUCUGCCUGAUGGAGGGGGAUAACUACUGGAAACGGUAGCUAAUACCGCAUAAUGUCGCAAGACCAAAGCGGGGGACUUUCGGGCCUCGCACCAUCAGAUGAACCCAGAUGGGAUUAGCUAGUAGGUAGGGUAAUGGCUUACCUAGGCGACGAUCCCUAGCUGGUCUGAGAGGAUGACCAGCCACACUGGAACUGAGACACGGUCCAGACUCCUACGGGAGGCAGCAGUGGGGAAUAUUGCACAAUGGGCGCAAGCCUGAUGCAGCCAUGCCGCGUGUAUGAAGAAGGCCUUCGGGUUGUAAAGUACUUUCAGUCAGGAGGAAGGGUGUGAAAUUAAUACUUUCAUGCAUUGACGUUA